CUCCUGAGCUCAAACAAUCCACCCGCUUCAGCCUCCCAGAGUGCUAGGAUUGCAGGUGUGAGCCACGGUGCCCGGCCAUAUUGUGGAGUAUAUAUUUGGUCUUUAGCCCCAGUGUCCUGGUAGGCAACUCCAAGUAAUGCCUUUGUGUGCUAAUGGUUGACUGACAGCUUUAGGAUGGGGGCUGGUCACUGGGAAGACUGCGGCAGGGGUAGCGGGCAGCUGGACACGAGGCGGCUUCUGGAGGGUGCGCCCCUUCCCCACACCUCGCCCCACGCAUCUCUUCGUCUGUACUUAUCUGUUAUAUUAAACUGCAAAACAUGCUUCCUUCUGUUCUGUGAGCCGCUGUAGCCAAUCAGUCAAACCCAAAGGGAGGGUUGCGGGAACCCUAACUUGAAGCGGGUUGGCCAGCAGCUCUGGAGACCCAGACUUGCGACUGGUGGGAAGGAGGGGGUGGCCUUGUGGGACUGAGCCCUCAACCUGUGGCAUCUGAGGCUAUCUCCAGGUGGCCAGUGGCAGAAUUUAAUUGGAGGAUGCCCAGCUGGCAACUGCUGCAGAACUGAUUGAUGGCAGGGCUGCUACCUUAGCCCAUGGGGCAUUUGUCAAGCCAGAGUCCUGGAAGGUGAUGUGACAGGCUGUCUACCACUGCUGCUGCUCCCAGGGCCAGGUGCUCACCUGCUCCUUGAGCAGCAGGGCCACACGCUGGAACAGCUGGUUGUCAUCGAGGGAGGUGAGUGCGAUGUAGAGGAAGAGGCCGUAGAGCACGGGCUUGGGGAUCCACUGCAGCGGGGUGGGCAGCAGCAGCAGGGAAAGGCCCACCAGGAUGCUGGCGCCCAGUGAGGUAAGCCGCGUCUCCUUCACGUUCACGAUCCUGUGGUGUCCCAGGGCCAAGCCUCACCUCUGGAACCUUGUACACAGGGUCACAUCCCUCCCGGGUCUCAAGGGGCCCCCUCACACUCACGUCUCAUAAAUGUGCCCGUUCUCCACGCACUCCUCCACUAAAGCCAGCGCCCGCACAUGCAAUGGGGAGUGGGGGUAGGCGGCAUGGAUCCAGGGCAGCCCAAACAGGGACAGCCCCGUGUUGAUGAUGGCCAGGAGCAGGAGGUCCCAGUGGUAGGCAGUGCCCUUUACCAGCCUGCAACAGGUGGGCACGUGAGCACUGAGCCCCCUCGGCCCCCUAGGGUCAGGCCCCUGCCCUCGCCAGCCCCCAUACCUGUUCUCUGGGGCAUUAACCAAGGCGGCCACCAGGUUCUGCUCGAUGAAGAAGAGCAUGGACAGCAGCAAGCCAAGGCCCAUGGCACUGAUGAUGGCCUGCAGGGACAGCGAGUGGAUCUGUGCCAUCUCAAACAGGCUCUUGCUGGGGUUGUAGCGGAACUUGCUCACUGCAACAGAGGACAGGCCCCUGCUGCACCUGCAGUACCCAGGAAGCAGCCCCACGCCACCCUCCCCCAGUCCCAACUCACUUUCAAUUUCCCGGAAGCCGUAGGAGCUGAUGAGGGAGAAGGCGAGCACCGAGAUGGGCAGGGCGCAGUCGGACAGGACCUCACGGACUCGGGGAUGCAGGUAGGGGCUGCAGACAGGUGGGUGGUCAGCGCAGCCUGUGGGCCGUGUGGCCCUCCCCUCAGCCCUAGCCCCCUCACCUCUUCUUGAACUGGUAGAGGGUGUAGCCCAGCCAGAGCGUGCCCAGCAUGAUGAGGAGGCUGAGCACAGCGGUCGCCCUGCCCGAGUGGAUGGCUUCCAGGCUGCCUGCCGUGGCCGGCUCUGUGGGGCUGGCUAGAAGGCUGGUGUUGAGGGCAGUGUGGAGGCUGGUGUUGAGGCUGGCGCCGAGGCCCUCCAGGCUCACCGGAGAUGAAGCCCUCUUUGUGUGGUAGUCGUCCACGUGAUGCCCGUAGUAGUACUUCGAGAAGACUGUGAACAGGGCCCAUGGGCCUCAGCCCUUUGGGCUCUGGGAGGCCAGGGCCUAGCUUUCUCCUGCAGCCCCAUCGCCCUCCAGUAGGUGGGGCUGCUGCUCUCCGCCAGCCACGGCUCCCAGAGCACCUCGACCAGGGGAGCACCCUCAGCUUGCACCCCUCCUGUCAGGCUCCUGUCAGCCCAGGGCCAGGCCACAGCCCGGAGCCUCCCAUCCCAACCUAGCUCCUCCAGCAGCAGGUGGCCACUGCUGUGCACUCACUUUUAGCCGUGCCCUUGACAGCAUCUAGCACGAAUGUGAUGGAAAUGAAGAGGGCGAUGAUCUCCUCUGUAGACCUGCCAGGAGGCGAUGGGCCUCGUAAGAGGGGUUGUGUGUAUGCCGGGGGUGACCAGAUGCUUCCCUGAGGCUCUGCAUGGCCCCCCAUCUCCUCCUGCCACUAAGGGGACCCAGGCCCCAGGCCUUGCCCAGUGAGCCCACCCCAGCCCCUGGGGGCAGCGAUAUGGUGGGACACCCCAUCCACUCUAGGGUCGCAGGGCCUCCGAGGCUGGCAGAAGGCUGACCCAGAUCCCCAGCUCAAGGGUCCCAGGGGCUCAGGGAAGGACCAGUCACCUCUUGAAGAGACUCAUGAGCAGGCUGAGGUUGAAGAAGGCAUAAAGCGCCAGGAAGAAACUGUUCCACAGACCUGUCCACGCGUAGAAGGAGUUGAAGUCCAGGCCGUAGUCGUCACAGAUGACUCGAAUCACUGCAGGCAGUGGGGUAGGGUGGGGUUAGGGCCCAGCAGGGACUGGGGACCUCGGGCACUAUCUCCCGCCUCAACCCCACUGUACCCUGGAUGUAGAGGGCCAGGGGUGCGGUCGUCAGCAAGAUCACCAGCGGCUGCCCGGAGAAAAGUGCAUACAGGAGGCCUCCGAUGCUCUGCCCGGCGAUGGUCUUCUGCACGUCUGCGGGGGUGGGCGGGUCAGGUGGGCACCACGGCCCCAGGCCCUGCCCGGCACACCCUGCCCACCGCCGGCCCCUCACCGAUGGCCCCGUCUGUGUUCUCAUCGUUGAGGGACCCAAAAGCAAUCGUGGGCAGGAGGCAGGCGAAGUAGAGGAACAGGGUGGUGGUGAUGUGCUUGCCCAAGGCCUUGUUUUUCCCCAUAAUGCCUAGGAAUGGGGGUGGGACAGAGGGUUUGUUGGGGAUGCAGGACUGGCCCACACGUGGGCCCGGGGCCUGAGAAGCCGAGCUCCGGGUGGGUCGCAGGGCACCUACCAUCAGUGAAGUCCAGCGGGUACAGAGGGAACCUGCGUGCGAUGUCCUCCCGGAUGCCCUUCCCAAAAGGGACAAAGUCCUUGCACUUCAGGGGCUGAGGGAAAGGACAGAGUGCCUGUUAGCCCUGUCUGGCCCAUGUCCCCUCCUGCCCAUGCCACCUCUACCCCGUACCUUCGGGUGUCUGUGGCCAUGGAAGGAGACCACGCUGUGAUCUUUCGUUCUCGUCACUGGACACUGGCUGGCCAUGGUGAGCAGCUGUCUCUGAUGCACCAAGGCCUCCUUGAAUUCUUCCUCCGUGCGGGUCUCCAGGAGCUUCUGGCGGAAGGCGAUGUCCGAGAACAUGGUGGCAAAUGUGCGUGCCACCUCCAUUGCGGUCUUGGUGCUUUUCUGGGGGUGGAGGAUGUCAGAGUCACGUCCACAGCCCCUGGGGAGCACAGGUGUUCCCAGGCAGGUGGAGGCGCUCUCAGCACGCACUGGCAGCGGGUGUAGUUCCCCCAAGUUCAGGCAUUAGUGUGCCCUACCACAAUUUCCGACAAGUCGGCAGAUCACCAGAACCACCAUCGAUCUAUGUUUUUUAUGCACGCACGAUUUCUUAUACGCUCAGAUAUUAAUCUUGUCCUAAGCAACAAAAAUCUGUGUAAUCAUGGACAAUGAAAUCACAAUAAACAAAGGCAUUUA
This is a long non-coding RNA of Lemur catta (Ring-tailed lemur), 3836 nucleotides long. RefSeq lists it as uncharacterized. Lineage: Eukaryota; Metazoa; Chordata; Mammalia; Primates; Lemuridae. The record is from RefSeq and is a predicted model, not a curated record. The transcript has 3 exons.